CAGCUCAUAUCNUACUUAGCUAGUUUCCAUAAAGCCCACCAGUCGACGAUCGGUAGCUGGUCUGAGAGGAUGAGUCAGCCACACUGGGACUGAGACACGGCCCAGACUCCUACGGGAGGCAGCAGUGGGGAAUAUUGGACAAUGGGCGCAAGCCUGAUCCAGCAAUGCCGCGUGUGUGAAGAAGGCCUGCGGGUUGUAAAGCACUUUCAGUGGGGAAGAAAGCCUCGGGGCGAAUACCCUCGGGGGUUGAGGUU
This 254-nucleotide ribosomal RNA is filed under the name uncultured bacterium. Its description in RNAcentral is "partial 16S ribosomal RNA". It matches the Rfam family "Bacterial small subunit ribosomal RNA", at positions 227 to 476 of the family's 1533-position model. The record is from RNAcentral.